Prunus dulcis (almond) is the source of this 661-nucleotide long non-coding RNA. RefSeq lists it as uncharacterized. NCBI's taxonomy places the organism in Eukaryota, Viridiplantae, Streptophyta, Magnoliopsida, Rosales, Rosaceae. The transcript is spliced from 3 exons. The record is from RefSeq and is a predicted model, not a curated record.
UAGUUGACGAGGCAACAAUUAUUUUAUAUUUUUUAAUUGUUUAUAUUAAAUUUUGGUUUGGAAAGGAAGGAAACCUGAGUGUUGACAGGGAAGCGGCUUGACUAUUAAAAAGGAGAAUGCAUGAUAAGUCCCACAUUGGAAAACACUUCAAUGUAUGAAAGCUUUAUAUAUGGUCGUUUAACAGCAAAGCUCGUCCCUUCGGGGACAUCCGAUAAAAUUGGAACGAUACAGAGAAGAUUAGCAUGGCCCCUGCGCAAGGAUGACAUGCAUAAAUCGAGAAAUGGUCCAAAUUUUUUUUGCACCUUUUGCGAUAUUUUUUUUCAUUUUCCUGCCUUCUCCAUGGUGUUGAAUGCAGUUGCAGAGGCUUUAUAAGCUACCGGAGAGCAAUGAGCAUUUGCAUUUAUAGGCUUCGACGGUUCAGGGUUUAGGGUUUACAGUUCGUGGGCUUAAUCGUUGAUCUUCCUGGUGAUUGUAGACUGCAAGGAUAGAACAAACAGCAGAGAAUUUUACAGUACUGUGGCUGCAAAGAAGUUAUGGAAUGAAGCAGCCAAGGUUACCUUGUCAUCACCAAAUUUUGCCCAAAAGCGUGCAGUGGCUCUCUCAAGAGGAUCUUCAGGCAGCAAGGGAUUUUCCUUCCAAGUUUCAUCAAUGUAUUCAAGAA